RNAcentral lists this ribosomal RNA (250 nucleotides) under uncultured prokaryote. RNAcentral describes it as "partial 16S ribosomal RNA". It matches the Rfam family "Bacterial small subunit ribosomal RNA", at positions 524 to 773 of the family's 1533-position model. The record is from RNAcentral.
UACGUAGGGAGCAAGCGUUGUCCGGAUUUACUGGGUGUAAAGGGUGCGCAGGCGGCUCUGCAAGUCAGCUGUGAAAUCUAUGGGCUCAACCCAUAAAUUGCAGUUGAAACUGUGGAGCUUGAGUGAAGUAGAGGUAGGCGGAAUUCCCGGUGUAGCGGUGAAAUGCGUAGAGAUCGGGAGGAACACCAGUGGCGAAGGCGGCCUACUGGGCUUUAACUGACGCUCAGGCACGAAAGCAUGGGUAGCAAAC